GAUGAACGCUGGCGGCGUGCCUAAUACAUGCAAGUCGAGCGAACGGACGAGAAGCUUGCUUCUCUGAUGUUAGCGGCGGACGGGUGAGUAACACGUGGAUAACCUACCUAUAAGACUGGGAUAACUUCGGGAAACCGGAGCUAAUACCGGAUAAUAUUUUGAACCGCAUGGUUCAAAAGUGAAAGACGGUCUUGCUGUCACUUAUAGAUGGAUCCGCGCUGCAUUAGCUAGUUGGUAAGGUAACGGCUUACCAAGGCAACGAUGCAUAGCCAACCUGAGAGGGUGAUCGGCCACACUGGAACUGAGACACGGUCCAGACUCCUACGGGAGGCAGCAGUAGGGAAUCUUCCGCAAAGGGCGAAAGCCUGACGGAGCAACGCCGCGUGAGUGAUGAAGGUCUUCGGAUCGUAAAACUCUGUUAUUAGGGAAGAACAUAUGUGUAAGUAACUGUGCACAUCUUGACGGUACCUAAUCAGAAAGCCACGGCUAACUACGUG
This 497-nucleotide ribosomal RNA is filed under the name uncultured bacterium. Its description in RNAcentral is "partial 16S ribosomal RNA". It matches the Rfam family "Bacterial small subunit ribosomal RNA", at positions 28 to 507 of the family's 1533-position model. The record is from RNAcentral.